UAAGAAUUAGUUAAAUUAUAACAUUAGUCUGUCUAACUAAAGUUAUCGGCUAAUCCUCGAUAUUCUUAC
Molecule: transfer RNA, 69 nt
Filed under: Ophiopholis mirabilis
Lineage: Eukaryota; Metazoa; Echinodermata; Ophiuroidea; Amphilepidida; Ophiactidae
Description: tRNA-Asp
Source: RNAcentral